RNAcentral lists this ribosomal RNA (248 nucleotides) under uncultured bacterium. Its description in RNAcentral is "partial 16S ribosomal RNA". It matches the Rfam family "Bacterial small subunit ribosomal RNA", at positions 15 to 257 of the family's 1533-position model. The record is from RNAcentral.
GAUCAGGCUCAGGACGAACGCUGGCGGCGUGCCUAACACAUGCAAGUCGAGCGGAGACAGUGAGUAGCUUGCUAUGAGCUGUUUUAGCGGCGGACGGGUGAGUAACGCGUGAGCAACCUUUCCCAGACAGGGGAAUAACACACCGAAAGGUGUACUAAUACCACAUAAGACCACGGGAUCACAUGGUUCUGAGGUAAAAGAUUUAUCGGUUUGGGGUGGGCUCGCGUCCGAUUAGGUAGUUGGUGAGG